UACGUAGGGCGCGAGCGUUGUCCGGAAUUAUUGGGCGUAAAGAGCUCGUAGGCGGCUUGUUGCGUCUGCUGUGAAAUCCCGGGGCUUAACCCCGGGCGUGCAGUGGAUACGGGCUGGCUGGAGGCAGGCAGGGGAGAACGGAAUUCCUGGUGUAGCGGUGAAAUGCGCAGAUAUCAGGAGGAACACCGGUGGCGAAGGCGGUUCUCUGGGCCUGUACUGACGCUGAGGAGCGAAAGCGUGGGGAGCGAACAGG
This 253-nucleotide ribosomal RNA is filed under the name uncultured bacterium. RNAcentral describes it as "partial 16S ribosomal RNA". It matches the Rfam family "Bacterial small subunit ribosomal RNA", at positions 524 to 776 of the family's 1533-position model. The record is from RNAcentral.